CCUACGGGUGGCAGCAGUGGGGAAUAUUGCACAAUGAGGGGAACCCUGAUGCAGCGACGCCGCGUGGGCGAAGGAGUAUUUCGGUAUGUAAAGCGCUAUCAGCAGGGAAGAACAAUGACGGUACCUGACUAAGAAGCACCGGCCAAAUACGUGCCAGCAGCCGCGGUAAUACGUAUGGUGCAAGCGUUGUCCGGAUUUACUGGGGGUAAAGGGAGCGCAGGCGGGGCGUUCAGCCUGGUGGUAAAGCCCGUGGCCCAACCGCGGGACCGCAUUGGGAACUAGCGAGCUGGAGUGCCGGAGGGGUAGGCGGAAUUCCUAGUGUAGCGGUGAAAUGCGUAGAUAUUAGGAGGAACACCAGUGGCGAAGGCGGCCUACUGGACGGUGACUGACGCUGAGGCUCGAAAGCGUGGGGAGCAAACAGGAUUAGAUACCCGAGUAGUC
This 441-nucleotide ribosomal RNA is filed under the name uncultured bacterium. RNAcentral describes it as "partial 16S ribosomal RNA". It matches the Rfam family "Bacterial small subunit ribosomal RNA", at positions 338 to 795 of the family's 1533-position model. The record is from RNAcentral.